This 48-nucleotide transfer RNA is filed under the name Pseudogarypus banksi. Its description in RNAcentral is "tRNA-Ser". Lineage: Eukaryota; Metazoa; Arthropoda; Arachnida; Pseudoscorpiones; Pseudogarypidae. The record is from RNAcentral.
UGAGGUAAAAUAGAGUUGCUAACUCUUUAAAGAAUAAUUCUACCUCUU